UGGUGCGAUCAUACCAGCACUAAUGCACCGGAUCCCAUCAGAACUCCGCAGUUAAGCGUGCUUGGGCGAGAGUAGUACUAGGAUGGGUGACCUCCUAAGAAGUCCGCUUGUAGAACCCC
Molecule: ribosomal RNA, 119 nt
Filed under: Gossypium raimondii (Peruvian cotton)
Lineage: Eukaryota; Viridiplantae; Streptophyta; Magnoliopsida; Malvales; Malvaceae
Source: RNAcentral